UUCUCCAAGCAAUCUUAAUCAUUCUUUAAGGCCUGCUUCCAUGUGAAUCAUCUUCUUCUCUUUUGUUUCUGCAGAAAAUUGCGGCGAUUCAUGGUUGGAGGAGCGAAUACUUAAAGGGCACAAUGGAUUCAAGCGAAGCAAAGGACACACCAUCUUGUGGCUGUAUAUAGAUCCAAGUUGAUUUGUAGGUUUUUGAAAAAAAAUACGAAAUUUUGUUUUAGUUGUGUAAAUAUAUAAAUAGGAGUGCCAAAGAGUUUUGGCAUGAAUUGCUUGGCUACGACCAUAAUCAUCACCUGCAAGCCCACAUUGAUCUCGGAUAUGGCCGUGGCUAUUGAUCCUUUCAGUGACAAGUUCCCUUACUUUAACCGAUCCUCUCAAAGAUGC
RNAcentral lists this long non-coding RNA (384 nucleotides) under Arabidopsis thaliana (thale cress). Its description in RNAcentral is "long non-coding RNA (ATHA_LNC000032)". Lineage: Eukaryota; Viridiplantae; Streptophyta; Magnoliopsida; Brassicales; Brassicaceae. The record is from RNAcentral.